GGACUCAAACUUGACCCUUUCCCUCCAGACAGGCAUCAUGCAAGACGUUGCUGAAUUUUUUAUCAAUGAAUUUUCCCACACUGAACACACCUGCAUUCCCAGCACCCACGUCCAGAAACUAUUACUGACCCGCCAGCGGCCCCCAGCUUGUCACCCCCCUGACUUCUCCCUGCACGGUGGUUUGGCCUGUUCCUGAGCUUUACGUUCAUGGAAUCGUGCAGUGUGGGCUCCUCUGCGUCUGGCAUCUUUAACUCAACAGGACGUUCACGCCACACACAAAUGCUGCUGUGUGUGACUGCAGUCCAUUCACCGUCGCGGCUGGAGAAUAUUCCAUGGGGGAUGUUGCCAGACCGCGAGGCUACCCCUGCCCUUUCAUGGUUUGUUCUACACGGGAGAUUUCAGGAAGAGAGAGAAGAGGUAAGAGACCAGAAACAAAGUCUUCUGCCAGCAAAGAACUGCAGCAGGCCCUAGCCAGUGGGUGUGAGGGCGGUCUGGGCCAGGUGACUCCAUUGCAGAGUGGGCCAGGGGUUCCCUUACUCACCCCUACCCCUGGGAGCCCUAGGGACACCAACACUACCAAUAAUAAUUGCAAGUAUUCAACAAAUGAUGCCGGAAUAAUUGGACAUCUGUGUGCAAAAGGAAUGAACCCAUACCUUGCACCUUAUCACAAAAUUCACUCAAAAUCAUAAGCCAAACUGUAACAUGUAAAACUAGAGGAAAACAUAGGAGAAAAUCUUUGUGACAUCAAAGCACUGACUGUAAAAGAAAAAAAAUGAUAAAUUGGACGUCAUCAGAAUUGAAUACUUUUGCUCUUGAAAAGUCAUGCUUAAGAAAUGGAAAAGACAAGGCACAGACAGGCAGACAAUCUUUGCAAAACAUCUACUUGAUAAAGGACUUAUAGCCAGAAUAUAUAAGGAAUUCUCCAAACUCAAUAAGAAAAAAGCACAGCUGGGCUUGGGUGGUGCGCGCCUGUAAUCCCAGCUACCUGGGAGGCAGAGGCCAGAGAAUUGCUUGAACCCAGAAGAUCAAGGCUGCA
Lemur catta (Ring-tailed lemur) is the source of this 1036-nucleotide long non-coding RNA. RefSeq lists it as uncharacterized. The transcript is spliced from 3 exons. Lineage: Eukaryota; Metazoa; Chordata; Mammalia; Primates; Lemuridae. The record is from RefSeq and is a predicted model, not a curated record.